Molecule: ribosomal RNA, 440 nt
Filed under: uncultured bacterium
Lineage: Bacteria
Description: partial 16S ribosomal RNA
Rfam family: Bacterial small subunit ribosomal RNA
Source: RNAcentral
CCUACGGGGGACUGCAGUGGGGAAUAUUGCACAAUGGGGGAAACCCUGAUGCAGCGACGCCGCGUGAGUGAAGAAGUAUUUCGGUACGUAAAGCUCUAUCAGCAGGGAAGAAAAUGACGGUACCUGACUAAGAAGCCCCGACUAACUACGUGCCAGCAGCCGCGGUAAUACGUAGGGGGCAAGCGUUAUCCGGAUUUACUGGGUGUAAAGGGAGCGUAGACGGCAGCGCAAGUCUGGAGUGAAAUCCCAUGGCUUAACCAUGGAACUGCUUUGGAAACUGUGCAGCUAGAGUGCAGGAGAGGUAAGCGGAAUUCCUAGUGUAGCGGUGAAAUGCGUAGAUAUUAGGAGGAACACCAGUGGCGAAGGCGGCUUACUGGACUGUAACUGACGUUGAGGCUCGAAAGCGUGGGGAGCAAACAGGAUUAGAUACCCUAGUAGUC